CUAAGUUUACUUUUCAAGUUACCUUCCAUUCAUAACUUCUACUAGCCAACAUCUACAGGCUUUAAGCCAAAAUAAACCAACAGCUUGAGGCUGUCUACACUGGACAUGACAAACCGACCAUUGCAAAUCAUUUUGUGUCAGUACUAGAGGGGGGUCUCAAUAUUUUCUGGGAUUUUAUCGAUAGAGAUAAUUAUUAAAGAUAAAAGAUUAAAGAUUAUUAGAUUAUAUUUUGCUGAGUGUGUUAAUGUGCUGAUAUCUUAAGGACUACUGUGGACAGCUGACUCCUAAAGUUUUUGAUAUUCUUCAUAUUCUGUGUGGUCAGUUCACAGCAGUGAUAGAAAUCAAUAUUUUCCAAUAAGUUUAAAUUGAUUUUUACCUUUUAUGGGCAUUUUUACCUUUAAAAGCUGUUACUAAACAAAUGAAAUCAGUAUCGACAAAAUUAAUCUUUGCAGAAGUUGCACAUUUAAUGUCAUUAAGAUGUAGGCUAUUUACACGUUAAAGCAUCUUAGAGGGGCAUGGAAUGCAGUUAUAAAUGCAUAAAUAAAUAUUUUGAUAUUUUAAACAUGAAAUGUUGAAUACUGAUAUUUGAAAUUAUUUAAAAAAUGAAAAGAUAUUUUAAAUGUUAAAACUGCCAGUAGGUGGCAGCAAGUCACUGUUAAUAAGUGAGUCAUUGCGCCUGAACCGAAUCAUUUAAACGGUUGAUUUACUCAGGAACGAAACACUGUCGUGUUGUUCAGAGACGUAAAACAGUGCUGUGGUUGUGUUUGGAUUGUUUUUGUUGUUGUUGACGAAAUAGAGCAAAAACAGCCACUAUGGUGUCAAAAAAGUAGUUCUAAAUGACAUCAUCCUUCAGGAAGUGACAUCAUCGAUUUGGAGGGAAAUCAACAGCACAAACACAAAGUUUCCAGGAAUCCAGAACUCAGGAUUGGAAUAGAGCAGACUUGAGUGAUAAUGCAGACGUGAAGAACUGACCUUGAGAGAUGGAUCACCCUCUGAAAAGCGAGCCUGUAGCAGGAGCGUAAUACCUACAAAUCAAUAUGUUCAAAAGGCAGAACAUUCCUCUAUGCUUCUUGCAGACUUCAAAUGCCAUUCUGGACAAUUAAAGUCCUUUAGACUCUCCUGUUGAUGCUGAUUGGAAUAUAAUAAGAUAAAGGGCAUAUAAUAGCCCAAUGUGUGCAGUCCAUUUAGACAGUGGAACAUUUACAUUACACUUUACAGUAAUACAAUGUGCUCUGUGAGUACAAAUGUCUUCGCAGAAGUGCUUUAAAGCUUUAUUGUGAGUAAGGAGGAGAAACAAUAUGGGAAUAAAUUAGAUCCUAUGUGAUUUUUGGCUGAGGAGUUCUGCAGCUGUUUUAUUUUUUAAUGAAUAUUGUUUGACUCAAAAAAAGAAGGAAAGAUUUUAGAGACACCUAAAAUCAUUAUGGAGCUGAUAGUGUAUGAAACCGUUUUUGACUAUCCGUUUUAAUAACAAUUUAAGCUUGUAAAUGUGAGUGUGUUUUGGAACAUUGUUUCUUAGCUGGUUCAGGCUGUUCACUAACUGGUUGAUCAGGUACAGUGUUCAUAAAACCAGUUUGAUUGCCUUAAGAUACGACUAGUUGGUAAAGCCC
This is a long non-coding RNA of Cyprinus carpio carpio, 1607 nucleotides long. The record is from Ensembl. Lineage: Eukaryota; Metazoa; Chordata; Actinopteri; Cypriniformes; Cyprinidae.